UGGGGAAUAUUGGACAAUGGGCGCAAGCCUGAUCCAGCAAUGCCGCGUGAGUGAUGAAGGCCUUAGGGUUGUAAAGCUCUUUCGCACGCGACGAUGAAUGACGGUAGCGUGAGAAGAAGCCCCGGGCUAACUUCGUGCCAGCAGCCGCGGUAAUACGAAGGGGGCUAGCGUUGUUCGGAAAUUACUGGGCGUAAAGGGCGCGUAGGCGGCCUGUUUAGUCAGAAGUGAAAGCCCCGGGCUCAACCUGGGAAUAGCUUUUGAUACUGGCAGGCUUGAGUUCCGGAGAGGAUGGUGGAAUUCCCAGUGUAGAGGUGAAAUUCGUAGAUAUUGGGAAGAACACCGGUGGCGAAGGCGGCCAUCUGGACGGACACUGACGCUGAGGCGCGAAAGCGUGGGGAGCAAACAGAUUAGAUACCCUGGUAGUCAACGCCGUAAAACGAUGAAUGCUAGACGUCGGGGUGCAUGCACUUCGGUGUCGCCGCUAACGCAUUAAGCAUUCCGCCUGGGGAGUACGGCCGCAAGGUUAAAACUCAAAGG
This 537-nucleotide ribosomal RNA is filed under the name uncultured bacterium. Its description in RNAcentral is "partial 16S ribosomal RNA". It matches the Rfam family "Bacterial small subunit ribosomal RNA", at positions 355 to 907 of the family's 1533-position model. The record is from RNAcentral.